UAGCUCAGCAGCACAGCGCCUGCCUGGCAAGCAGGAGGCCUGAGUUCCAUUCCCAG
Molecule: transfer RNA, 56 nt
Filed under: Cavia porcellus (domestic guinea pig)
Lineage: Eukaryota; Metazoa; Chordata; Mammalia; Rodentia; Caviidae
Rfam family: tRNA
About the family: Transfer RNA (tRNA) molecules are approximately 80 nucleotides in length. Their secondary structure includes four short double-helical elements and three loops (D, anti-codon, and T loops). Further hydrogen bonds mediate the characteristic L-shaped molecular structure. tRNAs have two regions of fundamental functional importance: the anti-codon, which is responsible for specific mRNA codon recognition, and the 3' end, to which the tRNAs corresponding amino acid is attached (by aminoacyl-tRNA synthetases). tRNAs cope with the degeneracy of the genetic code in two manners: having more than one tRNA (with a specific anti-codon) for a particular amino acid; and 'wobble' base-pairing, i.e. permitting non-standard base-pairing at the 3rd anti-codon position.
Source: Rfam by way of RNAcentral